UACGAAGGGGGCUAGCGUUGUUCGGAAUUACUGGGCGUAAAGCGCGCGCAGGCGGUUUCUCAAGUCAGUGGUGAAAGCCCGGAGCUCAACUCCAGAACUCCUUCGAAACUGGAGAGCUCGAGUCCGGGAGAGGUGAGUCGAACUGCGAGUGUAGAGGUGAAAUUCGUAGAUAUGCGCAAGAACACCAGUGGCGAAGGCGGCUCACUGGCCCGGUACUGACGCUGAGGUGCGAAAGCGUGGGGAGCAAACAGG
Molecule: ribosomal RNA, 252 nt
Filed under: uncultured bacterium
Lineage: Bacteria
Description: partial 16S ribosomal RNA
Rfam family: Bacterial small subunit ribosomal RNA
Source: RNAcentral